CCCUAGCAGAGGUGAUCGUUGCACUAGUCUGGAGCUCGUGUAUCGAUAUGAAGUCCAUAUGGUGUGCAGCAAUGUGGGUGGAUGCAAAGGAAAUCCGUUCGUACGUUUUGGGUAUUCUGUGGUGUUUCGGUGUAGUCAGCUUUAAUAGUGUUUUAUGUACUCAGCUGAUGUGUCCUCUUCUAAGUGGUCUAUGAUAAAGUGGGUUUAGAGGAUGCACCGGUUAGAAGCAUUUCUCUUUGAAAAAUGGACAAGGUGCAUGUUCCCCAUGUGUUGGUUGGUAAAGGUAGCAAAAUAGGUGGUUGGGGGUGGCAACAAGGAGGGGAGAAGAGCUUGCAAGCGUGCAGGGAGGGUUGAGGCUUGGAGGGUUUUGUAUCUUUUAAGGCUAGUGCAUGAGACCAGUGCAUGACGCGUGGCUCAUGCACACACUAGAAGUCCAGAGUUGAGGUUGUUGAGAAGGUGGAGAAGAUGAAACAUUCUCAAUUAUGCGGUAUAAGAAGGUGUAGAUUUAAGUUGAAUGGAUAUAAAGUGCCAAAAGGAGGCUAACUGACCAUAUAUUGAGACAUUUGGCGAUGAGAGGGAAGAACAAAGGAGCUAGAGCUCCUACCUUCUCUCUGGAGGUGAGGUGUUGUAAUGGGCUUUGUGUCCUGGCUAAACAGUGUGGAAGAAGGGGUUUGUGAUCUUGGAGUAGAAGAUUGGUCGUCGACCUAGUGGCGGAACCAGCAAUUUUUUUUAGGGGGAGCCAACUUUUCUAUCGUCUAACACAUUUAUGUAAAAUAAGAAUUAAAGGGAUUAAAAUUAAAAAAAAAAUAACAAUAUAUAAAAUUAGAUCUCGAUAAUUUACUACAUAAAUGUAAAAAUGAAAUUCUAAAAACAUAACUUAAUAAAUUUAUUAUUUAUCCUAAGCUUAGUUUAAAUUAAUUUUAGUGAUACCACAUCAUUGAAAAUAGAAAAUAUAUAAAGAUAAUACAAAAAUUUGGGACUACAGGAAAAAUAUUAGAGAGAGGCAUUUCUAGGUAUAUUGAAAUUUUAGAGAACAUAUGAGGAUUAUAAAUUUGUUGGAGGGGGGUGGGGGUCAUUCUCUAUAUUUAUAGAAUUAUAAAUAAAAUUUAGGGAUAUUUUGAAAUUUUAAAUUUUUUUUAAAGCCAACGUGGGUCCAUCACUGCGUCGACCACUAUAUAGUUAUUCAUAAUAGUUCUUCUAUAUACAGUCCUGUCCACCUAGCCCUGCGCAUUAAUCACUUCAAUGAUGGGAAUGCCCAUGCUCCAGCCAAUGAUGAAAAUGCCCAUGAAUGAAUCAAUUACAAAAAUGCCCCUGACCUCAAUAAAGUUAUGUUGCAAAAUUCAUUUCUGCCCAGUAGCCUGCGCUCCUCUUUGCCAUUUCUGUGUGCAUUUCCGUCCAUCGGCAUCGACCUGCGCAACUCCACCACCAUCGGCCUGUGCAGCUCCACCACUAUUGACGUGUUCCAAAGCAAAGAUUUGCAACAAAUGAGUUCCACCCAGCCCACACCACCCACCAACUAGCAUUAUUUGCUGGGCUGGUUAAUCACGUGAUUUACAUGUGACUCAUAAGCUGCAACAGAAAGACUUCACGCUUGAGUUGCAGGAUCUUGACACGUGGUGGCAUCUGACUUCUCAUAUAUAUGUUGUUAUCCGAUGCCUUGUAACCCUAAUCUUCAUUUUGUGCAUUCGGGCUGAGGGGAGCUUUGAGCGAGAGUGAGAAUAGAGAGGGGAAAUCUAGGAUUUGCAUUAGGGUGCUCACUUGAGGGGAAAAUCUCUGCGAUUUUCUGGUGUGAGAUGAGGGCUUUGUAAAUGAAAGGAUUUUUGAGGCUUAUCUGUGAUGGAUUUUGAUUAUCAAUAAAGCUCUGAGGCCAUUCCUGCUGUGGACGUAGACCAUUAGGGUCGAACCACGUAUAUCC
Molecule: long non-coding RNA, 1915 nt
Organism: Carya illinoinensis
Lineage: Eukaryota; Viridiplantae; Streptophyta; Magnoliopsida; Fagales; Juglandaceae
Exons: 2
Source: RefSeq, a predicted model, not a curated record